CGCCUUGCCAGCCCGCUCAGAAACUCAAAUGAAUUGACGGGGGCCCGCACAAGCGGUGGAGUAUGUGGUUUAAUUCGAUGCAACGCGAAGAACCUUACCUGGUCUUGACAUCCCGGAGACCCUUAGGAAACUAGGGGGUGCUUCCAUCUGGAAGAAUCUGGAGACAGGUGCUGCAUGGCUGUCGUCAGCUCGUGUCGUGAGAUGUUGGGUUAAGUCCCGCAACGAGCGCAACCCUCGUCCUUAGUUGCCAGCAUUCAGUUGGGCACUCUAAGGAGACUGCCGGUGUUAAACCGGAGGAAGGCGGGGAUGACGUCAAGUCCUCAUGGCCCUUAUGUCCAGGGCUACACACGUGCUACAAUGGCCGGUACAAAGGGUAGCAAGACCGCGAGGUGGAGCCAAUCCCAAAAAGCCGGUCUCAGUUCGGAUUGGAGUCUGCAACUCGACUCCAUGAAGUUGGAAUCGCUAGUAAUCGUGGAUCAGCAUGCCACGGUGAAUACGUUCCCGGGCCUC
RNAcentral lists this ribosomal RNA (510 nucleotides) under uncultured Desulfuromonas sp. RNAcentral's name for it is "bacterial SSU rRNA". It matches the Rfam family "Bacterial small subunit ribosomal RNA", at positions 903 to 1382 of the family's 1533-position model. Lineage: Bacteria; Pseudomonadati; Thermodesulfobacteriota; Desulfuromonadia; Desulfuromonadales; Desulfuromonadaceae. The record is from RNAcentral.